This 237-nucleotide ribosomal RNA is filed under the name uncultured Clostridiaceae bacterium. RNAcentral describes it as "partial 16S ribosomal RNA". It matches the Rfam family "Bacterial small subunit ribosomal RNA", at positions 97 to 334 of the family's 1533-position model. Lineage: Bacteria; Bacillati; Bacillota; Clostridia; Eubacteriales; Clostridiaceae. The record is from RNAcentral.
GGCGGACGGGUGAGUAACGCGUGGGUAACCUGCCUCAUACAGGGGGAUAACAGUUGGAAACGACUGCUAAUACCGCAUAAGCGCACAGUACCGCAUGGUACAGUGUGAAAAACUCCGGUGGUAUGAGAUGGACCCGCGUUGGAUUGGCUAGUUGGUGAGGUAACGGCCCACCAAGGCGACGAUCCAUAGCCGACCUGAGAGGGUGACCGGCCACAUUGGGACUGAGACACGGCCCAA